RNAcentral lists this ribosomal RNA (733 nucleotides) under Cyclophorus moellendorffi. Its description in RNAcentral is "partial 16S ribosomal RNA". Lineage: Eukaryota; Metazoa; Mollusca; Gastropoda; Architaenioglossa; Cyclophoridae. The record is from RNAcentral.
AAUUUUGGUAUUUAGUGUAAUUUUUUUUAGAAAAGAAACAUCAUUUAUAUUUAGUAGUGGUGAAGGAAAUAAUUAUAUAUUAAUAUAUAAAUUGUACCGUUACGGAAAAUUAUAAAUUUCUUUUAAGUAGAAUUUUAAUUCAUACCUUUUGCAUCAUGGUUUAGUAAGAAAAUUUUUUAAAUUAAGUUUCUCGAAACCUGAGGAGCUACCUUAAAUUUUGGUUUAGCCUUAAAUAAAGGUGAGUGUGGCACAACUCUAUUUAAAAUUUAAGGUAGAGAUUAAAUGUUAUUCGUCUUAGGUGAUAGCUAGUUAUAAUAUAAAGAUAUAUAAGUUUCGGAUAUAAUUUCAUUAUGUGUUUAUAUUAUAUAUACAUAAUGACUUAUUUUCUUAAUUAUGUGAGGGUGAGCUCGCAUAAAAUUUAUUUUAAUUAAAAUUAUAUAUGAAUCUAAGCUUGGGAUUAGCUAUGAUAAAUUGGAAUUUGUUAAAAAUACAUAUACACAAGAACUUUGUAAUAUAUUAAAUUUAUGUUAUUCAAUUAUAUAAUUAAAAUAAGGUUGAUUUAUGCUAAAAUGAGUAUUAUUAUGGGCAAAAAAAAAAAUAAAUUAAAUUUUUUUAAAAAUUUUUUAUAAAUAUUAUAAAAUAUAUCAUAGGAACUCGGCAAAAAUUUAGCUCCGCCUGUUUAGCAAAAACAUGUCUCUUUGAAAACAUAAUAUAAAGAGUCUGGCCUGCCCGG